GGAGGAGAGACGGGUUACAACUGUUCUGGGGGAGGAGAGACAGGUUACAACUGUUCUGGAGGAGGAGAGACAGGUUACAACUGUUCUGGAGGAGGAGAGACAGGUUACAACUGUUCUGGAGGAGGAGAGACAGGUUACAACUGUUCUGGGGGAGGAGAGACAGGUUACAACUGUUCUGGAGGAGGAGAGACAGGUUACAACUGUUCUGGAGGAGGAGAGACAGGUUACAACUGUUCUGGAGGAGGAGAGACAGGUUACAACUGUUCUGGAGGAGGAGAGACAGGUUACAACUGUUCUGGAGGAGGAGAGACAGGUUACAACUGUUCUGGAGGAGGAGAGACAGGUUACAACUGUU
This is a long non-coding RNA of Oncorhynchus keta (chum salmon), 355 nucleotides long. RefSeq lists it as uncharacterized. The transcript has 3 exons. The record is from RefSeq and is a predicted model, not a curated record. NCBI's taxonomy places the organism in Eukaryota, Metazoa, Chordata, Actinopteri, Salmoniformes, Salmonidae.